UACGGGAGGCAGCAGUGGGGAAUAUUGGACAAUGGGCGAAAGCCUGAUCCAGCCAUGCCGCAUGAGUGAAGAAGGCCUUCGGGUUGUAAAGCUCUUUUAGUGAGAAAGAUAAUGACGGUACUCACAGAAGAAGUCCUGGCUAACUCCGUGCCAGCAGCCGCGGUAAUACGGAGAGGGCUAGCGUUAUUCGGAAUUAUUGGGCGUAAAGAGCGCGUAGGCUGAUUAGUAAGUUAAAAGUGAAAUCCCAAAGCUUAACUUUGGAAUUGCUUUUUAAAAACUGCUAGUCUAGAGAUUGAAAGAGGAUAGAGGAAUUCCUAGUGUAGAGGUGAAAUUCGUAAAUAUUAGGAGGAACACCAGUGGCGAAGGCGUCUAUCUGGUUCAAAUCUGACGCUGAGGCGCGAAGGGCGUGGGGAGCAAACAGGGAUUAGAUACC
RNAcentral lists this ribosomal RNA (433 nucleotides) under uncultured bacterium. Its description in RNAcentral is "bacterial SSU rRNA". It matches the Rfam family "Bacterial small subunit ribosomal RNA", at positions 340 to 786 of the family's 1533-position model. The record is from RNAcentral.